GUGGGGAAUAUUGGGCAAUGGGCGCAAGCCUGACCCAGCAACGCCGCGUGAAGGAAGAAGGCUUUCGGGUUGUAAACUUCUUUGACCAGGGACGAAAAAAAUGACGGUACCUGGAAAACAAGCCACGGCUAACUACGUGCCAGCAGCCGCGGUAAUACGUAGGUGGCAAGCGUUGUCCGGAUUUACUGGGUGUAAAGGGCGUGUAGGCGGGAUUACAAGUCAGAUGUGAAAUCUCUCGGCUCAACCGAGAGCGUGCAUUUGAAACUGUAGUUCUUGAGUGAUGGAGAGGCAGGCGGAAUUCCUAGUGUAGCGGUGAAAUGCGUAGAUAUUAGGAGGAACACCAGUGGCGAAGGCGGCCUGCUGGACAUUUACUGACGCUGAGGCGCGAAAGCGUGGGGAGCAAACAGGAUUAGAUACCCGAGUAGUCC
RNAcentral lists this ribosomal RNA (428 nucleotides) under uncultured bacterium. RNAcentral's name for it is "partial 16S ribosomal RNA". It matches the Rfam family "Bacterial small subunit ribosomal RNA", at positions 354 to 796 of the family's 1533-position model. The record is from RNAcentral.